UUUUGGACAAUGGGGGCAACCCUGAUCCAGCCAUUCCGCGUGAGUGAAGAAGGCCUUCGGGUUGUAAAGCUCUUUCGCAAGGGAAGAAACGUUACCGGUGAAUAUCCGGUGAUAAUGACGGUACCUUGAUAAGAAGCACCGGCUAACUACGUGCCAGCAGCCGCGGUAAUACGUAGGGUGCGAGCGUUAAUCGGAAUUACUGGGCGUAAAGCGUGCGCAGGCUGUUUUGUAAGUCAGAUGUGAAAUCCCCGAGCUCAACUUGGGAACUGCGUUUGAAACUACAAGACUAGAAUAGGUCAGAGGGGGGUAGAAUUCCACGUGUAGCAGUGAAAUGCGUAGAGAUGUGGAGGAAUAUCAAUGGCGAAGGCAGCCCCCUGGGAUCAUAUUGACGCUCAUGCACGAAA
This 404-nucleotide ribosomal RNA is filed under the name uncultured bacterium. RNAcentral's name for it is "bacterial SSU rRNA". It matches the Rfam family "Bacterial small subunit ribosomal RNA", at positions 362 to 758 of the family's 1533-position model. The record is from RNAcentral.